AUGAAAGCCACUGAGGACAUUACAAAAACGUAGAGUUUUCAUCCACAAGCUAAUUGUUUGAAUGGCUAAAUAACUGACCAGUGCACCAGGGGUACUUGCUACUGUGAUUCCUGAAAUGCAGAGCCUAACAAGUUGAGAGCCCGACUGACUUCUUAGAUCAGGUGCCCCCUAAGCAACCGCUUAUGUCGCUAAUGCCUGGAGCUGGCCCUGGAAAGGACUCAGCCAUGUCUAAUUUGCACUGUCAUACUUCUGAGUCUUCAGCCAUGUCCAAAUACAGAUCCCAAAUCUGGUAGGACUGGAACAGUAGGACCGAGAAGACCACCAGGACCAGAAGGGCCAAGUGGUUUCUGUGGCAUCGCCACAAAAUCUGCCAUGCGGCUGGGCUACAACUACCCCCGAACCAUGCCACCCCAUAUAAUUCCGUGAGGUCAUGGACAGAACAAAGUUUGAGUUUCAUUGCAUCAUAUACCAGAAUGUGGGCAACAUGGAACUGCUGAAAAAACGGCCAGAUGGUGCUGCCCUCCUUCACCACCCAGCAGAAUGGCUACAUCACAGCCACAGGAGGCACACCGCUGCAGGUCAAAAAGGGGGGUGAGAUCUGCCUGUCAGCUAACUAUGGUGGCAACGGCAUGACCUCUGACAGCUUCUCUCAGGGCACCUGAUCUUCACUGUCUGGAGCCCAUUCUGACCUGGACACUGAUCCCAAAACACAACCACUCUGACACACAGGUUAGAACUAAGCUAAGGUUCUGUAUUUUAAAAGAGAGAUAUUUUAUUUUUCUUUCAAAAGACUCUUUUAACUAAUGUUAAUCUUUAUCACAUAUACAAUGAAAAGAGAGGUCAAUUGACUGUUUUGUUAUAUUUGCACUGAAGUUUGUUAUACUUGCACAUGAGUGGGAGAGUCAUUGCAUGCCACAUGUGUCUCUCUUUCUCUUUCCUCUAUCUUUCACGUUUUUUCACCAAACCAACACCAAUGCCUAAACAGUGUAUCUGUGUGUUGACCCAAUCCCUCUACCCCCCCAAACCCAAUUAUUGUUGUUAGAUUAAAUUAAUCUUACCACAUCAGGGAAAUGCAAUGUGAUAACUUUUUGAUUGUUAAUUGCAUUAUUUCUUCUAAUUAUUGGUAUGUGUUUUCCUUCUUAUGAACUUUAAGGCUAAUUAAAUUAUAUAGUUUAGGUCUUGCACAUAAAACACAUAGGAACAAAAUCUAACUUAAUAUGUGCUAAUUAUGAGUUUUUGGGUGAUGGUGAAAUUAUGACAAAUAAGAACAAACUCAAAACUAUGCUCAGGGAGCCUACCUGCUGCAUUGGGUCGGGCAAACCAUUGAAUUCUAAAGCUAAAGACUGAAUAUUUAUGUAGUAAACUUCAGAUGUAAAUUAUUAUAAAGAAAAUACUUUAAAACUAGAUGUUGUAUUUUCACAUAUACCGGAUAGGUGCAGUGAAAUGUAUUGUUUUACAAGAUCAGCCAUAGUAAUACGGUGCCCCAGAAGCAAAUUAGGGUUAAGUGCCUUGCUAAGGGGCACAGCAACACAUUUUUUCAACUUGUCGGCUUGGCCCUUCAAAUCUGUUUUUGAUAAACAAUUAUAUUCUGACUGUUUCAUCUUUCGAAAAAAUGAAUACAAAUAAAUACAACAAUAAAAUAACUCAUGCACAUACUCUGUGCUUUCUGUCACCUCAA
Molecule: non-coding RNA, 1678 nt
Organism: Oncorhynchus mykiss (rainbow trout)
Lineage: Eukaryota; Metazoa; Chordata; Actinopteri; Salmoniformes; Salmonidae
Source: RefSeq, a predicted model, not a curated record